This is a long non-coding RNA of Anneissia japonica, 550 nucleotides long. RefSeq lists it as uncharacterized. The record is from RefSeq and is a predicted model, not a curated record. Lineage: Eukaryota; Metazoa; Echinodermata; Crinoidea; Comatulida; Comatulidae. The transcript has 2 exons.
CAGUAGUAUGACGACACUCCACUCCAAAGUGACCAUGAAUACCAAGUUCACCAGGACGGAAUCUAAACCUUGUUACAUGCUGGAGCUGUGGAGCUGACCAGAGUCUAUUGAACCAGUGUCUCAGGUCAAAUCUACCGAUCCAUCAAUAAGUGCGAAGUCGAUGUACAAUUAUUGUCAGCGGAACACAAUGUGUAUCAGAUUGCCAGAACACAAGAUGCUAUCAAUAGCCGGAUUUAUGUGGUCUUAAUUCUACCAUGAAGGUAUUAUACCUCCAUGAUUCUACAAAUAAUCGCGCACUUUUAUUAGGAUUUAUAUCACUGGAUAGCCGGAAUUGAAUCAAAUUUGCCAAUAUGUUUCUUAACGAACAAGUAAUUCUCGAACGAUAUAUGAUACUUAAAUAUAAUUAGGCCUAAGCAUUAUAUAUUAUAUAAUAUUAUAUUAUAUUAUAUAAAAGUAGAAUCUUUUAUAUUCUAUUUAUAUUACGUUAUAGUUCUGAUGUAACAUUUUCGAGUAUGUGAGAAAUAAAAGUAAACUUUAGUGUAAUUUAUAA